AUUGAACGCUGGCGGCAUGCUUUACACAUGCAAGUCGAACGGUAACAGCACUUCGGUGGCUGACGAGUGGCGAACGGGUGAGUAAUACAUCGGAACGUGCCUAGUAGUGGGGGAUAACUACUCGAAAGAGUAGCUAAUACCGCCUGAGAUCUAAGGAUGAAAGCAGGGGACCUUCGGGCCUUGCGCUACUAGAGCGGCUGAUGUCAGAUUAGGUAGUUGGUGGGAUAAAAGCUUACCAAGCCGACGAUCUGUAGCUGGUCUGAGAGGACGACCAGCCACACUGGGACUGAGACACGGCCCAGACUCCUACGGGAGGCAGCAGUGGGGAAUUUUGGACAAUGGGCGCAAGCCUGAUCCAGCAAUGCCGCGUGCAGGAUGAAGGCCUUCGGGUUGUAAACUGCUUUUGUACGGAACGAAAAGCCCUCUUCUAAUACAGGAGGGUCAUGACGGUACCGUAAGAAUAAGCACCGGCUAACUACGUG
RNAcentral lists this ribosomal RNA (482 nucleotides) under uncultured bacterium. Its description in RNAcentral is "partial 16S ribosomal RNA". It matches the Rfam family "Bacterial small subunit ribosomal RNA", at positions 30 to 507 of the family's 1533-position model. The record is from RNAcentral.